This 490-nucleotide ribosomal RNA is filed under the name uncultured bacterium. RNAcentral describes it as "bacterial SSU rRNA". It matches the Rfam family "Bacterial small subunit ribosomal RNA", at positions 29 to 507 of the family's 1533-position model. The record is from RNAcentral.
AACAAACGCUGGCGGCGUGUCUUAAGCAUGCAAGUUGAGCGGCAAGGAGGAGAGAUCCUCCCUAGAGCGGCGGACUGGUGAGUAACGCGUGGGUAAUCUAUCUUAGGCAUGGGGAUAGUCACUAGAAAUAGUGGGUAAUACCGAAUAAGUUCCAUAAGGGGAGGACUUAUGGAAGAAAGGUGCUACGGCACUGGCCUUAGGUGAGCUCGCGUCCCAUUAGCUAGUUGGUGAGGUAAAGGCCCACCAAGGCGAUGAUGGGUAGCCGGCCUGAGAGGGUGUACGGCCACACUGGGACUGAGAUACGGCCCAGACUCCUACGGGAGGCAGCAGCUAAGAAUAUUCCGCAAUGGACGGAAGUCUGACGGAGCGACGCCGCGUGGAUGAAGAAGGCCGAAAGGUUGUAAAGUUCUUUUGCUAGGGGAGAAUAAGUGUGGGAGGGAAUGCCUGCACGAUGACAAGGACUAGCGAAUAAGUCCCGGCCAACUACGUG